This 301-nucleotide ribosomal RNA is filed under the name uncultured bacterium. Its description in RNAcentral is "partial 16S ribosomal RNA". It matches the Rfam family "Bacterial small subunit ribosomal RNA", at positions 509 to 807 of the family's 1533-position model. The record is from RNAcentral.
CAGUAGCCACGGGAAUACGGAGGGGGCUAGCGUUGUUCGGAAUUACUGGGCGUAAAGCGCGCGUAGGCGGCUUGGUAAGUUAGAGGUGAAAGCCUGGGGCUCAACCCCAGAAUUGCCUUUAAGACUGCCGAGCUAGUAGGUGAGAGAGGUAAGUGGAAUUCCGAGUGUAGAGGUGAAAUUCGUAGAUAUUCGGAAGAACACCAGUGGCGAAGGCGGCUUACUGGCUCAUUCUAGACGCUGAGGUGCGAAAGCGUGGGGAGCAAACAGGAUUAGAUACCCCUGUAGUCCCUGUCUCUUAUAC